Non-coding RNA from Oryctolagus cuniculus (rabbit), 796 nucleotides. The record is from RefSeq and is a predicted model, not a curated record. Lineage: Eukaryota; Metazoa; Chordata; Mammalia; Lagomorpha; Leporidae.
CUCCCCAGCUCUGCAUGGGUUCCCCAACAGUCAAAGUUAGUCAGUUCCUCUGAGAAAUCUAUCCUUGAGUUUUUCCAUAGUUUAAAAAAUGGUAAUAACCCACCACCACCACCACCCUCUUUUCAUUUAGGAAGUGAUCACCAGGUGACAAAGAGUAUUCAAUUUAUAUGCCUGGUCCAAUUAUUCCUAUCUUGUGAAAAGAUCCCCAUUUUACAUAUGAUGAAACAGAAACAGAGAAAAGAUACAGACUUGUUUGAAUUUGAUCCAAAGCCUAGGCUCUAACCACUAAAUUUCAAGGGCAAUCUGAUUCCAAUUUCUGUUCUUAGGUCUGCAUUCCUUAAUGACUUUGAUGACACAUAAAUCACGGAGAACCUAGUUUCAAAUGAAUGGCCAGACUCUGCAGCACACUGAUUGGAUUUCUGCUAGAGCAGAUGGACGAUACCAGUAGACUGACAGGAUCCUGCUGAGGAUGAAAGGGGAUGUUUUUUAUAUCAAGGCGCCAAGCAUCACAGAACGUUAUCCCGGGCCAAUGUUCCAUAAUUCCGAAACCUGGAGCCUAUGGUUAUUAGCCUUUUUUGGAAGAGGCAUGACCAUGAGAGUCACUGAUGAAAUUGCUAGAAAGUGGAUGUGGCAGCGACAGCUGUACUCCUGUAGCUGAGGACAAGUUAGAAGAUGGUAGACCAACAUGCUGAAAAGACAGAUGUUCCUCACUAAUUAUGUGCCCUAUCAUCCCAGAAAAUCCUCAGAUGAUCCCCAGAUCCUUACAGUGUUGCAAGCAACAAGUAAGCACAGGCCU